RNAcentral lists this ribosomal RNA (884 nucleotides) under uncultured bacterium. Its description in RNAcentral is "bacterial SSU rRNA". It matches the Rfam family "Bacterial small subunit ribosomal RNA", at positions 57 to 949 of the family's 1533-position model. The record is from RNAcentral.
GCAGUCGAGGGGUAUAGUCUUCGGAUUUAGAGACCGGCGCACGGGUGCGUAACGCGUAUGCAAUCUACCUUUCACAGAGGGAUAGCCCAGAGAAAUUUGGAUUAAUACCUCAUAGUAUGCAGAGUUGGCAUCAACACUGCAUUAAAGUCACAACGGUGAAAGGUGAGCAUGCGUCCCAUUAGCUAGUUGGUAAGGUAACGGCUUACCAAGGCAACGAUGGGUAGGGGUCCUGAGAGGGAGAUCCCCCACACUGGUACUGAGACACGGACCAGACUCCUACGGGAGGCAGCAGUGAGGAAUAUUGGUCAAUGGGCGCAAGCCUGAACCAGCCAUGCCGCGUGCAGGAUGACGGUCCUAUGGAUUGUAAACUGCUUUUGUACAGGAAGAAACAACAUUACGUGUAAUGUCUUGACGGUACUGUAAGAAUAAGGAUCGGCUAACUCCGUGCCAGCAGCCGCGGUAAUACGGAGGAUCCAAGCGUUAUCCGGAAUCAUUGGGUUUAAAGGGUCCGUAGGCGGUUUGGUAAGUCAGUGGUGAAAGCCCAUCGCUCAACGGUGGAACGGCCAUUGAUACUGCCAGACUUGAAUUAUUAGGGAGUAACUAGAAUAUGUAGUGUAGCGGUGAAAUGCUUAGAGAUUACAUGGAAUACCAAUUGCGAAGGCAGGUUACUACUAAUGGAUUGACGCUGAUGGACGAAAGCGUGGGUAGCGAACAGGACUAGAUACCCUGGUAGUCCACGCCGUAAACGAUGGAUACUAGCUGUUGGGAGCGAUCUCAGUGGCUAAGCGAAAGUGAUAAGUAUCCCACCUGGGGAGUACGUUCGCAAGAAUGAAACUCAAAGGAAUUGACGGGGGCCCGCACAAGCGGUGGAGCAUGUGGUUUAA